GACCCGGGCAACAUCGUCAAACUGCGGGAAAGCCCUGCCACGACUCUCGGGACCUCACCGCCCCAGCAAUGGAAGCGGGUGCCUGCGGCCAACGGCCGCGGGUACGGUAAAGCACCGAAGUCUAGGGGCGAUCCGCCGCCAAACCCUCCCCGCACCGGGAGGGCCCAGCUCACAGGCCAGACGGCGAUGGGCGCUCUCGCGCUUAAGAUAUGGUCGAGUGACCCGCCGAGAGGCGGGUGCAACUCAGGAACGUCCGUAGGUGAACCUGCGGAAGGAUCAUU
This 281-nucleotide ribosomal RNA is filed under the name Thyrinula eucalyptina. RNAcentral's name for it is "partial 18S ribosomal RNA". Lineage: Eukaryota; Fungi; Ascomycota; Dothideomycetes; Asterinales; Asterinaceae. The record is from RNAcentral.